This 696-nucleotide ribosomal RNA is filed under the name uncultured bacterium. RNAcentral's name for it is "bacterial SSU rRNA". It matches the Rfam family "Bacterial small subunit ribosomal RNA", at positions 790 to 1482 of the family's 1533-position model. The record is from RNAcentral.
GUAGUCCACCCCGUAAACGUUGGGAACUAGUUGUGGGGUCCAUUCCACGGAUUCCGUGACGCAGCUAACGCAUUAAGUUCCCCGCCUGGGGAGUACGGCCGCAAGGCUAAAACUCAAAGGAAUUGACGGGGACCCGCACAAGCGGCGGAGCAUGCGGAUUAAUUCGAUGCAACGCGAAGAACCUUACCAAGGCUUGACAUAUACGAGAACGGGCCAGAAAUGGUCAACUCUUUGGACACUCGUAAACAGGUGGUGCAUGGUUGUCGUCAGCUCGUGUCGUGAGAUGUUGGGUUAAGUCCCGCAACGAGCGCAACCCUCGUUCUAUGUUGCCAGCACGUAAUGGUGGGAACUCAUGGGAUACUGCCGGGGUCAACUCGGAGGAAGGUGGGGAUGACGUCAAAUCAUCAUGCCCCUUAUGUCUUGGGCUUCACGCAUGCUACAAUGGCCGGUACAAAGGGCUGCAAUACCGCGAGGUGGAGCGAAUCCCAAAAAGCCGGUCCCAGUUCGGAUUGAGGUCUGCAACUCGACCUCAUGAAGUCGGAGUCGCUAGUAAUCGCAGAUCAGCAACGCUGCGGUGAAUACGUUCCCGGGUCUUGUACACACCGCCCGUCAAGUCAUGAAAGUCGGUAACACCUGAAGCCGGUGGCCCAACCCUUGUGGAGGGAGCCGUCGAAGGUGGGAUCGGUAAUUAGGACU